GGGGCUGAUUCUGGAUUCGACGGGAUUUGCGAAACCCAAGGUGCAUGCCGAGGGGCGGUUGGCCUCGUAAAAAGCCGCAAAAAAUAGUCGCAAACGACGAAAACUACGCUUUAGCAGCUUAAUAACCUGCUUAGAGCCCUCUCUCCCUAGCCUCCGCUCUUAGGACGGGGGUCAAGAGAGGUCAAACCCAAAAGAGAUCGCGUGGAAGCCCUGCCUGGGGUUGAAGCGUUAAAACUUAAUCAGGCUAGUUUGUUAGUGGCGUGUCCGUCCGCAGCUGGCAAGCGAAUGUAAAGACUGACUAAGCAUGUAGUACCGAGGAUGUAGGAAUUUCGGACGCGGGUUCAACUCCCGCCAGCUCCACCA
This 363-nucleotide transfer-messenger RNA is filed under the name Escherichia coli. It matches the Rfam family "transfer-messenger RNA". Rfam says of the family: Bacterial tmRNA, also known as 10Sa RNA or SsrA, is named for its dual tRNA and mRNA-like properties. Its role is to liberate the mRNA from a stalled ribosome. To accomplish this part of the tmRNA is used as a reading frame that ends in a translation stop signal. RNAcentral also lists the same sequence under 1 other name. The record is from RNAcentral. Lineage: Bacteria; Pseudomonadati; Pseudomonadota; Gammaproteobacteria; Enterobacterales; Enterobacteriaceae.